RNAcentral lists this microRNA (24 nucleotides) under Mus musculus (house mouse). RNAcentral's name for it is "mmu-miR-6380". The record is from miRBase by way of RNAcentral. Lineage: Eukaryota; Metazoa; Chordata; Mammalia; Rodentia; Muridae.
UGUAAGUGCUUUUAACUGCUGAGC